CCAAUAGCGUAUAUUAAAGUUGUUGCAGUUAAAAAGCUCGUAGUUGAAUUUCGGGGUCAGUAGGUCGGUCGUGCCACUGGUAUGAACUGGUGUAGUCAAUUUCUCACCUUCUGGAGAACCGCGAUGUCCUUAAUUGGGUGCCGCGAGGAACCAGGACCUUUACUUUGAAAAAAUUAGAGUGUUUAAAGCAGGCAUUUUUGCUUGAAUACAUUAGCAUGGAAUAAUAAAAUAGGACGGCAUGAUUCUAUUUUGUUGGUUUCUAGGAUCACCGUAAUGAUUAAUAGGGAUAGUUGGGGGCAUUAGUAUUCAAUUGUCAGAGGUGAAAUUCUUGGAUUUAUUGAAGACUAACUACUGCGAAAGCAUUUGCCAAGGAUGUUUUCAUUAAUCAAGAACGAAAGUUAGGGGAUCGAAGACGAUCAGAUACCGUCGUAGUCUUAACCAUAAACUAUGCCGACUAGGAAUCAGACGAUGUUAAUUUUUUAAUGACUCGUUUGGCACCUUACG
RNAcentral lists this ribosomal RNA (504 nucleotides) under uncultured Glomeromycotina. RNAcentral describes it as "partial small subunit ribosomal RNA". It matches the Rfam family "Eukaryotic small subunit ribosomal RNA", at positions 591 to 1092 of the family's 1831-position model. The record is from RNAcentral. Lineage: Eukaryota; Fungi; Glomeromycota.